CCUACGGGAGGCAGCAGUAGGGAAUCUUGGACAAUGGGGGCAACCCUGAUCCAGCCAUGCCGCGUGAGUGAAGAAGGCCCUAGGGUCGUAAAGCUCUUUCGCCUGUGAUGAUAAUGACAGUAGCAGGUAAAGAAACCCCGGCUAACUCCGUGCCAGCAGCCGCGGUAAUACGUAGGUGGCAAGCGUUGUCCGGAAUCAUUGGGCGUAAAGCGCGCGCAGGCGGUCCCUUAAGUCUGAUGUGAAAGCCCACGGCUCAACCGUGGAGGGUCAUUGGAAACUGGGGGACUUGAGUGCAGAAGAGGAAAGCGGAAUUCCAAGUGUAGCGGUGAAAUGCGUAGAGAUUUGGAGGAACACCAGUGGCGAAGGCGGCUUUCUGGUCUGUAACUGACGCUGAGGCGCGAAAGCGUGGGGAGCAAACAGGAUUAGAUACCCUGGUAGUCCACGCCGUAAACGAUGAGUGCUAAGUGUUAGGGGGUUUCCGCCCCUUAGUGCUGCAGCUAACGCAUUAAGCACUCCGCCUGGGGAGUACGGUCGCAAGACUGAAACUCAAAGGAAUUGACGG
This 562-nucleotide ribosomal RNA is filed under the name uncultured bacterium. RNAcentral describes it as "bacterial SSU rRNA". It matches the Rfam family "Bacterial small subunit ribosomal RNA", at positions 338 to 916 of the family's 1533-position model. The record is from RNAcentral.